Molecule: ribosomal RNA, 123 nt
Filed under: uncultured archaeon
Lineage: Archaea
Description: partial 16S ribosomal RNA
Rfam family: Archaeal small subunit ribosomal RNA
Source: RNAcentral
CGCAGCAGUCGCGAAAACUUCACAAUGGGGGCAACCCCGAUGAGGGAAUUCCUAGUGCUAGGACAUUUGUGUUAGCUUUUCUCUAGCGUAGAUAACUAGAGGAAUAAGGGCUGGGAAAGACGG